RNAcentral lists this ribosomal RNA (354 nucleotides) under uncultured bacterium. RNAcentral's name for it is "bacterial SSU rRNA". It matches the Rfam family "Bacterial small subunit ribosomal RNA", at positions 1 to 334 of the family's 1533-position model. The record is from RNAcentral.
CUGUACAGUUCAGAGUUUGAUCCUGGCUCAGGAUGAACGCUGGCGGCGUGCUUAACACAUGCAAGUCGAACGGAACUCAUUGGAUCAAGACUUCGGUCAAGUGAAUUUGAGUUUAGUGGCGGACGGGUGAGUAACGCGUGAGGAACCUGCCUCGGAGUGGGGAAUAACAGUUGGAAACAGCUGCUAAUACCGCAUAAUGCAUACGGAUCGCAUGGUCUGUAUGCCAAAGAUUUAUCGCUCUGAGAUGGCCUCGCGUCUGAUUAGCUUGUUGGCGGGGUAACGGCCCACCAAGGCGACGAUCAGUAGCCGGACUGAGAGGUUGGCCGGCCACAUUGGGACUGAGACACGGCCCAG